RNAcentral lists this ribosomal RNA (477 nucleotides) under uncultured bacterium. RNAcentral's name for it is "partial 16S ribosomal RNA". It matches the Rfam family "Bacterial small subunit ribosomal RNA", at positions 29 to 507 of the family's 1533-position model. The record is from RNAcentral.
AUGAACGCUGGCGGCGUGCUUAACACAUGCAAGUCGAACGGGAAACCUUUUAUUGAAGCUUCGGCAGAUUUAGCUGGUUUCUAGUGGCGGACGGGUGAGUAACGCGUGGGUAACCUGCCUUAUACAGGGGGAUAACAGUCAGAAAUGGCUGCUAAUACCGCAUAAGCGCACAGAGCUGCAUGGCCCAGUGUGAAAAACUCCGGUGGUAUAAGAUGGACCCGCGUUGGAUUAGCUGGUUGGUGGGGUAACGGCCCACCAAGGCGACGAUCCAUAGCCGGCCUGAGAGGGUGAACGGCCACAUUGGGACUGAGACACGGCCCAGACUCCUACGGGAGGCAGCAGUGGGGAAUAUUGCACAAUGGGGGAAACCCUGAUGCAGCGACGCCGCGUGAAGGAAGAAGUAUCUCGGUAUGUAAACUUCUAUCAGCAGGGAAGAUAAUGACGGUACCUGACUAAGAAGCCCCGGCUAACUACGUG